GACGAACGCUGGCGGCGUGCUUAACACAUGCAAGUCGAACGAAGUGGCGAACGGGUGAGUAACGCGUAAUCAACCUGCCCUUCAGAGGGGGACAACAGUUGGAAACGACUGCUAAUACCGCAUACUGAAGGAGGGGAUUGCGUCGGAUUGGCUAGUUGGAGGGGUAACGGCCAACCAAGGCGAUGAUCAGUAGCCGGUCUGGGAGGAUGAACGGCCAACUUGGGACUUGGAAACGGCCCAGACUCCUACGGGAGGCAGCAGUGGGGAAUUUUCCGAAAUGGACGAAAGUCUGACGGAGCAACGCCGCGUGAGUGAUGACGGCCUUCGGGUUGUAAAGCUCUGUUAAUCGGGACGCGGUACCGGAAUAGAAAGCCACGGCUAACUACGUGCCAGCAGCCGCGGUAAUUC
Molecule: ribosomal RNA, 408 nt
Filed under: uncultured bacterium
Lineage: Bacteria
Description: partial 16S ribosomal RNA
Rfam family: Bacterial small subunit ribosomal RNA
Source: RNAcentral